This 429-nucleotide ribosomal RNA is filed under the name Actinomycetes bacterium. RNAcentral describes it as "Actinobacteria bacterium partial 16S ribosomal RNA". It matches the Rfam family "Bacterial small subunit ribosomal RNA", at positions 355 to 776 of the family's 1533-position model. Lineage: Bacteria; Bacillati; Actinomycetota; Actinomycetes. The record is from RNAcentral.
UAGGGAAUCUUCCGCAAUGGGCGAAAGCCUGACGGAGCAACGCCGCGUGAGUGAUGAAGGUCUUCGGAUCGUAAAACUCAGUUAUUAGGGAAGAACAAAUGUGUAAGUAACUAUGCACGUCUUGACGGUACCUAAUCAGAAAGCCACGGCUAACUACGUGCCAGCAGCCGCGGUAAUACGUAGGUGGCAAGCGUUAUCCGGAAUUAUUGGGCGUAAAGCGCGCGUAGGCGGUUUUUUAAGUCUGAUGUGAAAGCCCACGGCUCAACCGUGGAGGGUCAUUGGAAACUGGAAAACUUGAGUGCAGAAGAGGAAAGUGGAAUUCCAUGUGUAGCGGUGAAAUGCGCAGAGAUAUGGAGGAACACCAGUGGCGAAGGCGACUUUCUGGUCUGUAACUGACGCUGAUGUGCGAAAGCGUGGGGAUCAAACAGG